Long non-coding RNA from Xenia sp. Carnegie-2017, 827 nucleotides. RefSeq lists it as uncharacterized. NCBI's taxonomy places the organism in Eukaryota, Metazoa, Cnidaria, Anthozoa, Malacalcyonacea, Xeniidae. The transcript is spliced from 2 exons. The record is from RefSeq and is a predicted model, not a curated record.
UCUACAAUCAGGCCAAGUACCAAAAUCAUCAUUGUUGUCAGCUCAUUUGUUUCAUCAACCAAAUUUACAGACAGCAUAGAAAUUUUGGCGACAAUACCAUCCUCCGCAAGUUUUCCAACUGUGCCUACGAGUAGGGAACACACAGUCACAGCAGUUACGUUUACCACCACGCAAAGCGUCGAUCAAAGAGCAAACCAAUAUGUAACUUCUUCAUCUUUACCUAUGGGUAGUGAUCAAUGCAAGCAUGAUGCUAAAUCAAAACUACACCAUCACGUUUGGCUGUUGAUAUGGAUUGGUGGUGGGAUGUUUGUUUUGAUGCUGCUUUUCAUCGUUGCUUUGUUAUAUUAUAAAAACAGAAUGCUAACGAGGCGAGUAAGGUCUAUGAAGGACUUUAGUCUUCCGAUUAAAGAAAAUGGGGACUGGAUAGAUAAUCAAGACAUUUCUCUUUGGCACAAGAGAGCUUCAGAAUUUAUGUCUGAAAAUCCUGUUGCCCUAGAAAAUCUUAAUGAUACUACUUAGUUAUGAAGGCAUUAACAUUCAUUACAUACAGCUGGAAAAUCUAUCUUUCUAAAACCAUACUAUCACGUAUUUAGUUUUACUUAAGAUGUGUUUUAAUCAAAUAUUGGUAGGUAUAGUGCAAUAUCGAACAAAGCCAACUUUCAAAGAUUCUUUGCUGCAUUUCAAGAAUGGACUUGAAAUUUCAAAUAAUUGUUAGUAGCUAGUAGUCACUACACUGUAAAUUUUAGGGGGUAAAAGUGAUCUUUUUUAGGGUAGUAUUUACUACCUUCAGAAGGGUAAUUGACUAAAGAGUAAUAUUUACUCUAAAA